GAACGAACGCUGGCGGCAUGCCUAACCCAUGCAAGUCGACCGAGACCUUCGGGUCUAGUGGCGCACGGGUGCGUAACGCGUGGGAACCUGCCCUUAGGUUCGGAAUAACUCCCCGAAAGGGGUGCUAAUACCGGAUAAUGUCUUCGGACCAAAGAUUUAUCGCCUUUGGAUGGGCCCGCGUUGGAUUAGCUAGUUGGUAGGGUAAAAGCCUACCAAGGCGACGAUCCAUAGCUGGUCUGAGAGGAUGAUCAGCCACACUGGGACUGAGACACGGCCCAGACUCCUACGGGAGGCAGCAGUGGGGAAUAUUGGACAAUGGGCGAAAGCCUGAUCCAGCAAUGCCGCGUGAGUGAUGAAGGCCUUAGGGUUGUAAAGCUCUUUUACCCGGGAUGAUAAUGACAGUACCGGGAGAAUAAGCUCCGGCUAACUCCGUG
This 434-nucleotide ribosomal RNA is filed under the name uncultured bacterium. RNAcentral describes it as "partial 16S ribosomal RNA". It matches the Rfam family "Bacterial small subunit ribosomal RNA", at positions 27 to 507 of the family's 1533-position model. The record is from RNAcentral.